GCCUUCAUGGUGCAACGGUUAGCACACUCGGCUCCUAUUCGAGAGGUCCAGGUUCGAGUCCCGGCGAGGGCA
This 72-nucleotide transfer RNA is filed under the name Stegodyphus mimosarum. It matches the Rfam family "tRNA". Rfam says of the family: Transfer RNA (tRNA) molecules are approximately 80 nucleotides in length. Their secondary structure includes four short double-helical elements and three loops (D, anti-codon, and T loops). Lineage: Eukaryota; Metazoa; Arthropoda; Arachnida; Araneae; Eresidae. The record is from Rfam by way of RNAcentral.